GGAAAUCAUAGGAUGCCGAAGUUCAAUGUACCCAAGAUUAAUAAUAUCAUAUUACAAUUCAAGAAAUAAAUAUUUUUAGUUGUGAAGCAGCUGUCCUACAUAGACUCCAUCACUUUCGAGCUUCAACCUUCUUUUGUUCUUUGGCAGCCUUCUCCUCCUCCCGUUUCCUUGCAGCAUCUGCUCUUUGUUGCCUUAUCAUAGCCAGACGUUCAAGAUCUUUCUUAGCCUGUUCAGUUUUCCCUUGUUCCUGCAUUCUCAUAUAUCGCUCAUGAGAUUGCUGUUUCUCUAUCUCCUCCCUUUCA
Molecule: unclassified non-coding RNA, 302 nt
Filed under: Hevea brasiliensis (rubber tree)
Lineage: Eukaryota; Viridiplantae; Streptophyta; Magnoliopsida; Malpighiales; Euphorbiaceae
Source: RNAcentral